RNAcentral lists this unclassified non-coding RNA (338 nucleotides) under soil metagenome. Its description in RNAcentral is "partial contains 5.8S ribosomal RNA, internal transcribed spacer 2, and large subunit ribosomal RNA". The stretch from base 1 to 120 matches the Rfam family "5.8S ribosomal RNA", at positions 35 to 154 of the family's 154-position model. The record is from RNAcentral.
GAUGAAGAACGUAGCGAAAUGCGAUACGUAAUGUGAAUUGCAGAAUUCAGUGAAUCAUCGAAUCUUUGAACGCACAUUGCGCCCUCUGGUAUUCCGGAGGGCAUGCCUGUUCGAGCGUCAUUUCAACCCUCAAGCAUUGCUUGGUGUUGGGGCACCGCCUGUAAAAGGGCGGGCCCUGAAAUCUAGUGGCGAGCUCGCCAGGACCCCGAGCGUAGUAAUUAUAUUUCGUUCUGGAAGGCCCUGGCGGUGCCCUGCCGUUAAACCCCCAACUUCUGAAAAUUUGACCUCGGAUCAGGUAGGAAUACCCGCUGAACUUAAGCAUAUCAAUAAGCGGAGGA